This 429-nucleotide ribosomal RNA is filed under the name Bacteroidota bacterium. RNAcentral's name for it is "Bacteroidetes bacterium partial 16S ribosomal RNA". It matches the Rfam family "Bacterial small subunit ribosomal RNA", at positions 355 to 776 of the family's 1533-position model. The record is from RNAcentral. Lineage: Bacteria; Pseudomonadati; Bacteroidota.
UAGGGAAUCUUCCGCAAUGGACGCAAGUCUGACGGAGCAACGCCGCGUGAGUGAAGAAGGUUUUCGGAUCGUAAAGCUCUGUUGUUAAGGAAGAACGAGUGUGAGAAUGGAAAGUUCAUACUGUGACGGUACUUAACCAGAAAGGGACGGCUAACUACGUGCCAGCAGCCGCGGUAAUACGUAGGUCCCGAGCGUUGUCCGGAUUUAUUGGGCGUAAAGCGAGCGCAGGCGGUUAGAUAAGUCUGAAGUUAAAGGCAGUGGCUCAACCAUUGUAGGCUUUGGAAACUGUUUAACUUGAGUGCAGAAGUGGAGAGUGGAAUUCCAUGUGUAGCGGUGAAAUGCGUAGAUCUAUGGAGGAACACCGGUGGCGAAAGCGGCUCUCUGGUCUGUAACUGACGCUGAGGCUCGAAAGCGUGGGGAGCGAACAGG